This 401-nucleotide ribosomal RNA is filed under the name uncultured bacterium. Its description in RNAcentral is "bacterial SSU rRNA". It matches the Rfam family "Bacterial small subunit ribosomal RNA", at positions 356 to 774 of the family's 1533-position model. The record is from RNAcentral.
GGGGAAUCUUGCACAAUGGGGGAAACCCUGAUGCAGCGACGCCGCGUGAACGAUGAAGCCCUUCGGGGUGUAAAGUUCUUUCGACAGGAACGAUAAUGACGGUACCUGGAGAAGAAGCUGCGGCUAACUACGUGCCAGCAGCCGCGGUAAUACGUAGGCAGCGAGCGUUAUCCGGAUUUACUGGGUUUAAAGGGUGCGUAGGCGGGCUAUUAAGUCAGAGGUGAAAUCUCCGGGCUCAACCUGGAAACUGCCUUUGAUACUAUUAGCCUUGAAUUAUGUUGAGGUUGGCGGAAUAUAGCAUGUAGCGGUGAAAUGCUUAGAUAUGUUAUGGAACACCGAUUGCGAAGGCAGCUGGCUAAACAUAUAUUGACGCUGAUGCACGAAAGCGUGGGUAGCGAACA